UGGCAAAAUAAGAGCAUCUCCAUCUCUGAUUGCUUUUAAAAUUACCCUCAAGACACACCUAUUUUCUCAGACUUUUAACUGAAAAUAAUUUUAAACUAUUUAAUUAGUUUUACUUUGUUUUACAUUUGUUGUGUACGCCUAGGCAAACACACACAUAAAUGUGAUAGAUAGAUAGACAAAGGCAACCCAGUUUCCAGGCAAAGAUUAUCACACUGCUUAUCACACAGGAACUUAUAUUCCUGUGUUAUAAACAUCAGGGAGUUAAGCCACCAUCUGCUAUUAAAGCUCACUCCACUAGAGUGAUUUCAGCAGCUCAUAUCAUUAUGAGCAUUUGUAAAGUGACCACUUGGUCCUCAGACUUACCUGUCAUAAAACAUUAUGGCCUCAGACCAUGGCAGAGGCUAACUUUGGACAGGUAGUUUUGAAAAAGGUGCUUUAGUAACAUCCUUGCUCCCUGCCACCUUCAUGGUGAGCUCAUUAAUCACUCAAGUUGUGAAGGAUCCUGGAUCACCAUAAAUAUAAAUAGAUUGUUCACCUGUAACAGGUGAUCUCUAGGCAAUGUGAGAUAAUUUAAAACAUCUGCCCAGCCUACCUGCUGUUCAGAUGUUACUGUAAGCUACUUAACUUCAUUGAAUCAAAACAAAUAAUAGACCUUCAUAGUACUCUAUCAGGAACUGAGCAAGAGGCACUCUGUUGUGGAAGAUACUGAGUGUGCUUUGCGUGCUGUUACUGUGCAGGUGCAGAACCCAAGUUGCGAAUGAUCCUGGAAUUGAUCACCUAUAGAGCCCCUGGUGGUGCAGUGGUAAAACUGAUGCCCUGUAACCAGAAGGUUGCAAGUUCGAUCCUGACCAGGGGCUCAAGGUUGACUCAGCCUUCCAUCCUUCCGAGAGAUCCAAAGGGGGAUAUUUGUUGCACAGUGGUCAUCCAGAACUGAGUAAAAGAUGCUUCAACUGCCUCUUUCUAACAGCUGCACUGUGCACACAAGAGGAGGUGCUAGAGUGCCACGAGAAUCUUGGCAUCUUCCCAAAGAGUUUAUUGUGCAGACCCAAAACCCAAUUAGUGUGAAUACAUGAGGAUCACUUAAGGCAAGAGUUUCAGGAAAGAACAAUCUGCCCUUACUGUAUGAAUGUGAUGGACAUCAGAACUCAUUGGAUACAGCUGCUACAGAAGCAAAGAAAGAACACACGUAUGGCUGCACAUUCCUUCCGGACUGCAUUGUUUUUCUUCUUCCAGCAGCUGUUUUCAAGUGACCAACAAAGGAAGGUAUGACCUUCACAACCCCCCAGAACAAUCAGAGGACAUCAUUGGUACCCAGACUUGAAUGAGCUGCUAGGUACUAGCAGUUAAGAUGUUUUGGGUCACUCAGCAAGAGUGACUAUUUCACUUGGUGAAUGGCAUUUUUGUACUCCUCUGUAUGAGACAUAGUAAGCUUAAGGGAUCAGGGCUGGGGAACGAAGAAAAUCAGUGGAAGGUAAUAUCUUGCUCUGGACAAAAGCAGCCCUUUCUGGAUGACUGGUAAACACCCUUCCCCUUGGUCUGCUGUUACAAACUGUGCAUCUGUUCUGAAGUCUGUUAGGCUGGCUUCCUGUUCAGUUCUUUCCACUCAUUAUCUUUCCGUUUCUACCCACACCCAGAGCAACAUUUUUUUGCUUUGAUGACUAAAUGUUUAUAGCAACCAGAACUACCACAAAACUACUGAUAUAACACCACAGCAAGAGUUUCCUACUGAUUUUCAUAUUUUCUGUGUCAGGUUCUUUGCUUGGUAACGGAUUGCUAGGUCAAGAAUUUAUCUGGAUUCUCUGGCAAUACGUUCACAUUUCCUCCUGUGAACUGUACCCAAGCCUCCCACACAGUGAUCUCUCUCUCUCUCUCUCUCUCUCUCUCUCUCUCUCUCUCUCUCUCUCUCUCUCUCAGUGCUUUCUAAACUUUUUGCACAUAUCCUUGCUGGGACUGUAUUAACCCUAUUAAAUAAUUAGUAAGUUAAUACCUAUCAAUCAAUGACAAUCACCAGAUUAACUGGGUCAAUUAAUUUGCAUACUAUCCUUUUUGAGAUAUUGAAGGCAGUGAAAAGUAACUUAGUUUAUAGAAGGCACUCAAGGAAAAAUCACCCUUUAAUAUCUUUAUUCCCUAUUGCAGUAACACUAAAAUCAAACUAUCCUCACAAUGAUGUGCUUUUAAGCUGCAGAUCCAUUGAUUAAACAUCCCUAAUUGAUUAACAUGGGUUCCCAAUUAUUAAUUAGCUAAAGUUUUAGUUGACAAAGUUUAUUACCAAAUAAAUUUGUAGCCCUAACCUUUGUAAUACUUGUAGUAUUCAGAUUGAAUAGUGUAGUUUAUCUCAUCCAAAUUGUUUUAUGAACUUAUGAAUCUGCCUAAUACUAAGUCAGACAGUCUAUCUAACUCAGUAUUGUCUGCUCUGACUGGCAGUGACUCUCAAGAGUCACAGAUGCAGGUUUCCCCCAUCACCUAGCUGAUCCUUUAAUUUGAGAUACUAGAGAUUAAACCUGGGGCCACCUACAAUGCAAAGCAUGCGAUCAUGCAGGUUGUCUGAACCCUAUACUAGGAUCUGUCAAAGCCCCCUGUGGGUCUAGCAUUGGCCCAUAUGUCUCAGUUCUAUUUCUCUUUUUUAUGUCUGAUGCAUUGAUAAGUCCUUUGGAAUUAUUCUUUAUUGUGCAUUCACCUCAUCAGCUACUGUAUAGUGACAUUAGUUGCCUCUGUCUCUAUCUUAAAAUGAAAGUCCUUAGUGGGAAACACAGAUCUUGAGAGGUGGGAUGACAGAAUGAGAAGCCCCCUCCCCCCCAAAAAAGUGAAGAAAAGAGAGAAAAGUGUGCAACGGGGGAGGGGGGGGAGACAGCUAAACCAGACAUUCAAUAAUCAAGGGUGUCUUUGAUUAUCCCCAAAUUGGACUUCCAGAUCCUGACAGAGACAUUUUUAGAAACUAUUAAUAUUGUGCCUUGGAACAGUUAGUCAUUGACUUGACUAGAGGAAAGAUGACCCUCCUAAAGGGGUAGGCAACCUUGGCUCUCCAGCUAUAACCAAUUGUUGAACUACAGCUCCCGCAAUCUCCAAUCACAACUGAUUAUGGCUGGGAAUUAUGGGAGUUGUAGUUUAACAGCAGCUAGACAGCCAAGAUUGCUUGCUCCAAAGAGUUCAGAGAAUCUUAUGGUGAUGUGAGUGUUGUUGUCAAACCACUUGAAAACCAUGGCUGGCAUUCAGAGGAAGGAAGCAGUGAGAGGAGCAGACUAACAGCACUACCAGAUUCAAUGCACUGGUGAAGAGGCAAUUUUUUGAUGGUCUCCUCUUCCCCAGGAAGCCCUAUGUACCACAUUCUCAAGGCCAAACCAGAUGUAACUUCCAUCAUCUAACUGGUGGUGGCAUACUGCCAGAGCAGCGGAGAAGAAAGAGAGCUCAAAUCCUACCUCUUGCUACAGUCCUGAUCAAGAUUGUUUCCCAGCAACUAUUCAGCAAAUACUGAAUACCUUGAUUUCAGCAAAUGCUAACAAGUAUUUCAUGCCCAUCUCCCCCCACCCCAAACCCCGCCCCCCCACACACACUACAAUAUACUUCUUUC
This is a long non-coding RNA of Hemicordylus capensis (graceful crag lizard), 3568 nucleotides long. RefSeq lists it as uncharacterized. The record is from RefSeq and is a predicted model, not a curated record. Lineage: Eukaryota; Metazoa; Chordata; Lepidosauria; Squamata; Cordylidae. The transcript has 3 exons.